This 2105-nucleotide long non-coding RNA is filed under the name Homo sapiens (human). RNAcentral's name for it is "HSALNT0156031". Lineage: Eukaryota; Metazoa; Chordata; Mammalia; Primates; Hominidae. The record is from RNAcentral.
GGCUGUCACCGAGCGCCUGGCACGGCCGGGCCAUGCCCCGGGGAAGGAGGGACCAGGGCCGGGGGCGGGAGCCAGCCCUUGUGCUCGCAGCCCUGGGUUCGGAGCCCAGCUGCCCGGGAAGGUUUCCAGAUCUCCCUGAGCCUCAGUUUCCCCAUCUGUAAACUGGGUGGUGGUGGCUUCGUCCCCCGCUUUGAGAGGACAGCAGGAGAGGCGUCCUGAGAAGUGAGUUCGCCUGGAAGCUGCCGGGCUGUAGUUUGCGUUGAUACCACCGAUCUUCCCGGUCACUCUAGGAGACGGGCCAUAUCCCCGUUUUACAAAUGAGGAAACUAACUCAGCGAGGGGAGACGCCGUGUCCAGGGACACACAGUAAGCAGGUGGCCCAGGAGGACCCCAGAACCCGGCUGGAGGUGGCGGUGGGGGGCGAGGGGUGCCUGCGGAAGGAGAGGAACAGGAGCAGCGGGAGUGCACAUUUGCGAGCGGGUGAAAAUUUCUGUGAAUGUUUAUAAGCACAUGGAACGGGCAUCUUUGUGGCUGCGGGAGUUGCACGGGUCACUCAUGAGGCCGCCCACGUGGCGCUUGUUGCUUCACCUCUCGAGUAACUGACGGUAUGUUCUGGCCCUCAGCUCUCCCGGGCAGUGUCCAUCACACUCAUGGCUUCCUAGACUUCCAUCUCCGGUCUAAUCACCUUCCGAACGCCAGAACCAUCACGUCUGCUGCCCUUGAACACCUCCCCUAGGUGUCCCUGUGGGCCACCCAGGUUCCCUCCACCCCAGUCUUCCCCACCUGCUUCUCCUUCAUGCUUCCCUCUCAGGGAGUUUGAGACCAGGCUGACCAACAUGGAGAAACCCCGACUCUACUAGAAAUACAAAAUCAGCUGGGUGUGGUGGCGCAUGCCUGUAAUCCCAGCUACUCGGGAGGCUGAGGCAGAAUUGCUUGAGCCUGGGAGGCGGAGGUUGCAGUGAGCCGAGAUUGCACCAUUGCACUCCAGCCUGGGCAACAAGAGCAAAACUCCGUCUCAAAAAAAAAAAAAAAAAAAAAGUAAAAGUAAAAGAAAGUCAAUCACCAAUAAUGCUGGAAUAUGUCAACUUUUCUCCCACCUCUUGCCACUGAUCCAGACCCCAUUCCCUCUGCCCGGGUGAUCCCUUAUAGCUACCCAGGGCUGCGGCUUUGCUCCAUUCAAGCCAUUUUCCACGCAGCAGCAGCCAGGGCCGUCUUUCCAGAGUGUAUUAGGUUGGUGCAAAAGUAACUGUGGUUUUUGCAAUUAAAAGUAAUUGUAGGCCAGGCACAGCGGCUCAUGCCUGUAAUCGCAGCACUUUGGGAGGCUAAGACAGUUGGAUCACUUGAGGUCAGGAGUUCGAGACCCACCUGGCCAACAUAGUGAAACCUGGUCUCCACUAAAAAUACAAAAAUUAGCUGGGCAUGGUGGCACACGCCUGUAAUCCCAGCUCCUGGGGGGGUGGGGGGGCAGGGCUGAGGCAGGAGAGUCGCUUGAACCCAGGAGACGACAGCUGCAGUGAGCUGAGAUCACGCCACUGCACUCCAGCCUAGGCGACAGAGUGACUCUGUCUCAAAAAAAAAAAAAAAAAAGGAAUUGCAAAAACCGCAAUUACUUAAUAGAUCUGACCAAGACUCUCCCCAGGUUCAAACCCCGGCUUCAAACCUUUUGCUCCUUAUAGUCUUUUUUUAAAACUCUUAUCUGUGGCUCAUUGUGUCUCAAGACAGCCAAGCAAACCGAACUGCUAGGAAUUUUCCCAAUGGAACAUUCUCUCUGCAAGUCCUUUGCUCUUGCGGUUGCUCCUCCAGGAGCUCCUGCCUCCCUCUUCUCUUCCCUUCCUUGAGGCUCAGCAUGGGAGAGGCCCUGCUGCAGGUGCCCUCUGACCUCUCAGGUAGGGGAGGGGGCCUCUGUCCUCUGCAAACCUGCGCUGAGUGCUCUGGAUGGUUCCGUCCCUUGGAUUGGGCCUCCCCAAGGGCAAGACCCUGCCUGGUUCACCCUGGCCGCUCAUGCAGAGGCCUGCCUAACAUAGCUGCUGAAUGAAUGAAUGAAUGAAUUGAAUUGAAUAAUGGACAAAGCCCAACAGGGAGGGUUAGCAUAAAGGGGAGACAGG